CUUCUUUUCAUUCUUAUGCAGGGUGAUUGUUUGGUGCUGAUACAACAUUGACUUUUCCCAUAAUUUAGCUUAGAGUGUUUUACACUGGGGAGUUCCAAUGUGUUUAAAUUGUAAAACUUUUUCCGAGCAUUUUUGUAGCAGAACUCCAUGUUCUAAUAGCCCCGGCAAAGUUGUUUUUAAUACUUUUUCUCUACGAAUUUUCAUUAAAAUUUAAUUCCAUUUUAACUUUGUCAAUUUUCCCCAAAGAUAAAUUAAGACACACAGAGAGAUUGUCAUUUCCUGUUUGAAGUCUCAUUCCUGUGUACAAUGUCAGUCUUUUUUAUUUAGGCCUAUGCCAUUCCAUCAGGGUAAAUAACUUUCUAACUAGUCAUUUAAGAGCAACUCCCGGGAAACUGUGAUGCAAUCCCACAUAUCAGCCAGACUUCAAAAGCUGCCAGAUUAUUGUGAAAGGAGAAACACUGUUUUCGAAGGCUGCUGAUAAUGCCUAUUAGCCAGAAGAAAGAGCCUGAAUCAUUCAAAGGUUUUCCAUCUAGUAAAGAAGUGUGGUAAAAAUCUUGCCCAGAUCUGCAUGUGCUAAGCAUCUACGUAAGUUGGAGCAUCAUAUUAAUGACACCCAGUGAAGAAACGAAAGAAUGAAGUGUAAUUACUAUAUCAAAAAUCCACAGAAUGUGAAAGUAUAAAGGAAAACUCUCAGCUGCUCAGCUAAAAACUUUGGAGUUAGACAUAUGGACAGCCCACCCCAAGGGAAGAAUCAGAGGAGAAGGGACACAAGACCCCAGAAACACACAAAGCACCUUAAUAUGCAUGCUGCAUCUCUCUAAAAUUGUGGAACCUGUUUACCUGCUCUGGAGAAUGGCUGCCUGUGGCAGACAUAGGAGUUGUCCUCAUGCUGUGCUUCCUAUCUUCCACAGUAAUUGACUUGUAGCUGCAAUACAGUUACCAACCAGGAAUACAAUUUCUCAGCCCCAUGUCUUGCACCUACAGCUAAGUGUGGCCAUGUGACCAGUUUUCACCAAUUAAGUGUGAAUAGCAACAAAGUGCACCACCUUCAAUUGGAGGCUUUGAAGAAGCAGGGCAGCCUUCCCUUGCUCUCUUUCCCCUUGUUCUGGUGGGAUACAGAUGACAAUAAGGCCCUGGGUUUUGAGGUAGCCACAAGAUGCAAAAUACCUCAGACCUGAGUCACCACAAGGAAGAGAGAAGCCCACUGACAUGGAAUACCCAGCCUAGUCUACAGAUGAAUAAGAAAUAAACUUCUAUUAUGUUCGAACAUUACAGAUUUUGUUCUGUUAUAGCAGUUUAUCUCACCCUGACUAAACUGUUGCCUAUCUUCCAAGAUAGGCCCUCCUUCCCUGAAAGUGACUUUUUCAUACAUGUAAUCUGUAUUUUAAUUCAUAUUCUCCAAAGCAUAUCCACAUCUAUUCAACUAUUUUCAUGUCUUCCA
This 1441-nucleotide long non-coding RNA is filed under the name Homo sapiens (human). RNAcentral's name for it is "LNC_000125". Lineage: Eukaryota; Metazoa; Chordata; Mammalia; Primates; Hominidae. The record is from RNAcentral.